UUUUGGCCAAUGGGCGAAAGUCUGAUCCAGCAAUGCCGCGUGCAGGACGAAGGCCUUCGGGUUGUAAACUGCUUUUGUACGGAACGAAAAAGUCUUUUUUAAUAAAGAGGGCUUAUGACGGUACCGUAAGAAUAAGCACCGGCUAACUACGUGCCAGCAGCCGCGGUAAUACGUAGGGUGCGAGCGUUAAUCGGAAUUACUGGGCGUAAAGCGUCCGCAGGCGGUUCUAUAAGACAGAUGUGAAAUCCCUGGGCUCAACCUAGGAACUGCAUUUGUGACUGUAGAGCUAGAGUACGGCAGAGGGGGAUGGAAUUCCGCGUGUAGCAGUGAAAUGCGUAGAUAUGCGGAGGAACACCGAUGGCGAAGGCAAUCCCCUGGGCCUGUACUGACGCUCAGGACGAAA
RNAcentral lists this ribosomal RNA (403 nucleotides) under uncultured bacterium. RNAcentral describes it as "bacterial SSU rRNA". It matches the Rfam family "Bacterial small subunit ribosomal RNA", at positions 362 to 758 of the family's 1533-position model. The record is from RNAcentral.